RNAcentral lists this ribosomal RNA (235 nucleotides) under uncultured bacterium. RNAcentral describes it as "partial 16S ribosomal RNA". It matches the Rfam family "Bacterial small subunit ribosomal RNA", at positions 127 to 354 of the family's 1533-position model. The record is from RNAcentral.
UGCCCAAGAGACUGGGAUAACACCUGGAAACAGAUGCUAAUACCGGAUAACAACACUAGACGCAUGUCUAGAGUUUAAAAGAUGGUUCUGCUAUCACUCUUGGAUGGACCUGCGGUGCAUUAGCUAGUUGGUAAGGUAACGGCUUACCAAGGCAAUGAUGCAUAGCCGAGUUGAGAGACUAAUCGGCCACAUUGGGACUGAGACACGGUCCAAACUCCUACGGGAGGCAGCAGGG